AGAGUUUGAUCCUGGCUCAGGACGAACGCUGGCGGCGUGCCUAAUACAUGCAAGUCGAGCGAAUCUUUGGGAGCUUGCUCCCAUUGGUUAGCGGCGGACGGGUGAGUAACACGUGGGCAACCUGCCUGUAAGACUGGGAUAACACCGGGAAACCGGUGCUAAUACCGGAUAAUCCUUUCCUUCACAUGAGGGAAAGCUGAAAGUCGGUUUCGGCUGACACUUACAGAUGGGCCCGCGGCGCAUUAGCUAGUUGGUGAGGUAACGGCUCACCAAGGCGACGAUGCGUAGCCGACCUGAGAGGGUGAUCGGCCACACUGGGACUGAGACACGGCCCAGACUCCUACGGGAGGCAGCAGUAGGGAAUCUUCCGCAAUGGACGAAAGUCUGACGGAGCAACGCCGCGUGAGCGAUGAAGGCCUUCGGGUCGUAAAGCUCUGUUGUUAGGGAAGAACAAGUAUCGGAGUAACUGCCGGUACCUCGACGGUACCUAACCAGAAAGCCACGGCUAACUACGUGCCAGCAGCCGCGGUAAUACGUAGGUGGCAAGCGUUGUCCGGAAUUAUUGGGCGUAAAGCGCGCGCAGGCGGUCCUUUAAGUCUGAUGUGAAAGCCCACGGCUCAACCGUGGAGGGUCAUUGGAAACUGGGGGACUUGAGUGCAGAAGAGGAAAGCGGAAUUCCACGUGUAGCGGUGAAAUGCGUAGAGAUGUGGAGGAACACCAGUGGCGAAGGCGGCUUUCUGGUCUGUAACUGACGCUGGGGCGCGAAAGCGUGGGGAGCAAACAGGAUUAGAUACCCUGGUAGUCCACGCCGUAAACGAUGAGUGCUAAGUGUUAGAGGGUUUCCGCCCUUUAGUGCUGCAGCUAACGCAUUAAGCGCUCCGCCUGGGGAGUACGGCCGCAAGGCUGAAACUUAAAGGAAUUGACGG
RNAcentral lists this ribosomal RNA (926 nucleotides) under uncultured Bacilli bacterium. RNAcentral's name for it is "SSU rRNA". It matches the Rfam family "Bacterial small subunit ribosomal RNA", at positions 8 to 916 of the family's 1533-position model. Lineage: Bacteria; Bacillati; Bacillota; Bacilli. The record is from RNAcentral.